This 500-nucleotide ribosomal RNA is filed under the name uncultured bacterium. Its description in RNAcentral is "partial 16S ribosomal RNA". It matches the Rfam family "Bacterial small subunit ribosomal RNA", at positions 30 to 523 of the family's 1533-position model. The record is from RNAcentral.
AUUGAACGCUGGCGGAAUGCUUUACACAUGCAAGUCGAACGGCAGCACGGACUUCGGUCUGGUGGCGAGUGGCGAACGGGUGAGUAAUACAUCGGAACGUGCCCAAUCGUGGGGGAUAACGUAGCGAAAGCUACGCUAAUACCGCAUACGAUCUAAGGAUGAAAGCGGGGGAUCGCAAGACCUCGCGCGAUUGGAGCGGCCGAUGGCAGAUUAGGUAGUUGGUAGGGUAAAGGCCUGCCAAGCCGACGAUCUGUAGCUGGUCUGAGAGGAUGAUCAGCCACACUGGGACUGAGAAACGGUCCAGACUCCUACGGGAGGCAGCAGUGGGGAAUUUUGGACAAUGGGCGAAAGCCUGAUCCAGCCAUUCCGCGUGCAGGACGAAGGCCUUCGGGUUGUAAACUGCUUUUGUACGGAACGAAAAGGCUCUGGUUAAUACCUGGGGCUCAUGACGGUACCGUAAGAAUAAGCACCGGCUAACUACGUGCCAGCAGCCGCAGUAA